Long non-coding RNA from Asterias rubens (European starfish), 464 nucleotides. RefSeq lists it as uncharacterized. The transcript is spliced from 3 exons. The record is from RefSeq and is a predicted model, not a curated record. NCBI's taxonomy places the organism in Eukaryota, Metazoa, Echinodermata, Asteroidea, Forcipulatida, Asteriidae.
GUAGCCGAAGUCGUCGUUUCGGACACGACCUGUCAAUCCGCCAACAGAGGACGCGAUUCCUAUUUUAAUACCUAGUCAGAUACCCUAAACCAAAUUCAACGCUGAAUUUUCGGAUGAAGUCCAGCUUGAUAAAUCACGUGCCGGCCCAUCCAGAAUUAGAAACGCAUGCUGGAUUAGAAUUUCUCAAAAACAUGGACGGAGAGGAGUCAUUUGCUUCUUCAAGAGAAUUUUGCCCGCAAUUUGGCUCCAUUUUACCGUUUCCUGAAAAAGGAACGGUAGUUAUGAAAUGCAAGACGUGUCCUCACAAAGUAAAUGCAAAAACUGCAUUACAUGGUGUGGUCUAUCAUUCAUACCUGUGUCUCAACUCUCGCAAGAAUGUUGAAGGUCGUUACAAGGUUACAGCCAGAAAGACCUAGGACCACUGAUUGACAGGGCAUGUGCCAAGUGCGAUCACGAUGGACUUC